This 460-nucleotide ribosomal RNA is filed under the name uncultured bacterium. RNAcentral's name for it is "partial 16S ribosomal RNA". It matches the Rfam family "Bacterial small subunit ribosomal RNA", at positions 338 to 795 of the family's 1533-position model. The record is from RNAcentral.
CCUACGGGAGGCAGCAGUGAGGAAUAUUGGUCAAUGGACGCAAGUCUGAACCAGCCAUGCCGCGUGCAGGAUGACGGCUCUAUGAGUUGUAAACUGCUUUUGUACGAGGGUAAACCCCGAUACGUGUAUCGGGUUGAAAGUAUCGUACGAAUAAGGAUCGGCUAACUCCGUGCCAGCAGCCGCGGUAAUACGGAGGAUCCGAGCGUUAACCGGAUUUAUUGGGUUGAAAGGGUGCGUAGGCGGUUUGAUAAGGUAGAGGUGAAAUGUCCGGGCUCAACCCCGAAACUGCUUCUAAUACUAGUGGACUAGAGAAUAGUAGCGGUAAGCGGAAUGUAAGGUGUAGCGGUGAAAUGCGUAGAGAUCAUACAGAACACCGAAUGCGAAGGCAGCUUACCAAGCUAUAUCUGACGUUGAGGCACGAAAGCGUGGGUAGCAAACAGGAUUAGAUACCCGAGUAGUC